UACGUAGGGGGCUAGCGUUGUCCGGAAUCAUUGGGUACGUAAGCGCGCGUAGGCGGCCGGUAAGUCCGCUGGUAAAAGUCAAAGGCUCAACCUUUGAAUGUCAGUGGAGUACUGCCGGGCUAGUAGUCCGGGAAGAGGCGAGUGGAACUCCUGGUGUAAGCGGUGGAAUGCGCAGAUAUCAGGAAGAACACCGACGGCGAAGGCAGCUCGCUGGGACGGUACUGACGCUGGAGGCGACGAAAGCGUGGGGAGCGAACAGG
Molecule: ribosomal RNA, 260 nt
Filed under: uncultured bacterium
Lineage: Bacteria
Description: partial 16S ribosomal RNA
Rfam family: Bacterial small subunit ribosomal RNA
Source: RNAcentral